UGGGGCGUAGCCAAGCGGUAAGGCAAUGGGUUUUGAUCCCGCUAUUCGGAGGUUCGAAUCCUUCCGUCCCAG
Molecule: transfer RNA, 72 nt
Filed under: Sinosenecio subcoriaceus
Lineage: Eukaryota; Viridiplantae; Streptophyta; Magnoliopsida; Asterales; Asteraceae
Description: tRNA-Gln
Rfam family: tRNA
About the family: Transfer RNA (tRNA) molecules are approximately 80 nucleotides in length. Their secondary structure includes four short double-helical elements and three loops (D, anti-codon, and T loops).
Source: RNAcentral